RNAcentral lists this ribosomal RNA (498 nucleotides) under uncultured bacterium. RNAcentral describes it as "partial 16S ribosomal RNA". It matches the Rfam family "Bacterial small subunit ribosomal RNA", at positions 28 to 507 of the family's 1533-position model. The record is from RNAcentral.
GACGAACGCUGGCGGCGUGCCUAAUACAUGCAAGUCGAACGAGAGCAACCGGUGCUUGCACUGGUCAAUCUAGUGGCGAACGGGUGAGUAACACGUGGGUAACCUGCCCAUCAGAGGGGGAUAACAUCCGGAAACGGAUGCUAAAACCGCAUAGGUCUUCGAACCGCAUGGUUUGAAGAGGAAAAGAGGCGCAAGCUUCUGCUGAUGGAUGGACCCGCGGUGCAUUAGCUAGUUGGUGAGGUAACGGCUCACCAAGGCCGUGAUGCAUAGCCGACCUGAGAGGGUGAUCGGCCACAUUGGGACUGAGACACGGCCCAAACUCCUACGGGAGGCAGCAGUAGGGAAUCUUCCGCAAUGGACGCAAGUCUGACGGAGCAACGCCGCGUGAGUGAAGAAGGGUUUCGGAUCGUAAAACUCUGUUGUUAGAGAAGAACAAGUGCUAGAGUAACUGUUAGCGCCUUGACGGUAUCUAACCAGAAAGCCACGGCUAACUACGUG